This 18-nucleotide ribosomal RNA is filed under the name Saccharomyces cerevisiae (brewer's yeast). RNAcentral's name for it is "partial 18S ribosomal RNA". The record is from RNAcentral. Lineage: Eukaryota; Fungi; Ascomycota; Saccharomycetes; Saccharomycetales; Saccharomycetaceae.
GACUCGAAAGGAUCAUUA